ACUCCUACGGGAGGCAGCAGUGGGGAAUAUUGCACAAUGGGCGCAAGCCUGAUGCAGCCAUGCCGCGUGUAUGAAGAAGGCCUUCGGGUUGUAAAGUACUUUCAGCAGUGAGGAAGGUGGAGUCGUUAANGCGGCCUCAUUUUGACGUUAGCUGCAGAAGAAGCACCGGCUAACUCCGUGCCAGCAGCCGCGGUAAUACGGAGGGUGCGAGCGUUAAUCGGAAUUACUGGGCGUAAAGCGCAUGCAGGUGGUUUGUUAAGUCAGAUGUGAAAGCCCGGGGCUCAACCUCGGAAUAGCAUUUGAAACUGGCAGGCUAGAGUACUNUAGAGGGGGGUAGAAUUUCAGGUGUAGCGGUGAAAUGCGUAGAGAUCUGAAGGAAUACCAGUGGCGAAGGCGGCCCCUGGACAAAGACUGACGCUCAGAUGCGAAAGCGUGGGGAGCAAACAGGAUUAGAUACCCUGGUAGUGUACU
RNAcentral lists this ribosomal RNA (471 nucleotides) under uncultured bacterium. RNAcentral describes it as "bacterial SSU rRNA". It matches the Rfam family "Bacterial small subunit ribosomal RNA", at positions 335 to 799 of the family's 1533-position model. The record is from RNAcentral.